RNAcentral lists this unclassified non-coding RNA (329 nucleotides) under soil metagenome. RNAcentral describes it as "partial contains 5.8S ribosomal RNA, internal transcribed spacer 2, and large subunit ribosomal RNA". The stretch from base 1 to 120 matches the Rfam family "5.8S ribosomal RNA", at positions 35 to 154 of the family's 154-position model. The record is from RNAcentral.
GAUGAAGAACGUAGCGAAAUGCGAUAAGUAGUGUGAAUUGCAGAAUUCAGUGAAUCAUCGAAUCCUUGAACGCACAUUGCGCCCCUUGGUAUCCCGAGGGGCAUGCCUGUUCGAGCGUCAUUUCACCACUCAAGCCUGGCUUGGUGUUGGGCGACGUCCCCUUUGGGGACGCGCCUUGAAACGCUCGGCGGCGUGGCACCGGCUUUAAGCGUAGCAGAAUCUUUCGCUUUGGAAGUCGGGGCCCCGUCUGCCGGAAGACCUACUCGCAAGGUUGACCUCGGAUCAGGCAGGGAUACCCGCUGAACUUAAGCAUAUCAAUAAGCGGAGGA